This 160-nucleotide ribosomal RNA is filed under the name uncultured bacterium. Its description in RNAcentral is "partial 16S ribosomal RNA". It matches the Rfam family "Bacterial small subunit ribosomal RNA", at positions 355 to 507 of the family's 1533-position model. The record is from RNAcentral.
UAGGGAAUCUUCCGCAAUGGGCGAAAGCCUGACGGAGCGACGCCGCGUGAGUGAGGAAGGUCUUCGGAUCGUAAAGCUCUGUUGCCAGGGAAGAAGACUUGGGAGAGUAACUGCUCUCAAGGUGACGGUACCUGAGAAGAAAGCCCCGGCUAACUACGUG